CCUACGGGUGGCAGCAGUGAGGAAUAUUGGUCAAUGGGCGCAAGCCUGAACCAGCCAAGUAGCGUGAAGGACGACUGCCCUACGGGUUGUAAACUUCUUUUAUAAAGGAAUAAAGCGAGUCACGUGUGCCUCUUUGUAUGUACUUUAUGAAUAAGGAUCGGCUAAUUCCGUGCCAGCAGCCGCGGUAAUACGGAGGAUCCGGGCGUUAUCCGGAUUUAUUUGGUUUAAAGGGAGCGUAGAUGGGUUGUUAAGUCAGUUGUGAAAGUUUGCGGCUCAACCGUAAAAUUGCAAUUGAUACUGGCAGUCUUGAGUACAGUUGAGGUAGGCGGAAUUCGUGGUGUAGCGGUGAAAUGCUUAGAUAUCACGAAGAACCCCGAUUGCGAAGGCAGCUUACUAAACUGCCACUGACAUUGAUGCUCGAAAGUGUGGGUAUCAAACAGGAUUAGAUACCCCAGUAGUC
This 460-nucleotide ribosomal RNA is filed under the name uncultured bacterium. Its description in RNAcentral is "partial 16S ribosomal RNA". It matches the Rfam family "Bacterial small subunit ribosomal RNA", at positions 338 to 795 of the family's 1533-position model. The record is from RNAcentral.